CGCUACGCACGCCUGCAUCAACACGCCCGUGCGCUAUUUUUUUUUUUUACAGUCGUAUCUACUGUGAUAAGAAAGCGCUCUUAGUUCAGUUCGGUAGAACGUGGGUCUCCAAAACCCGAUGUCGUAGGUUCAAAUCCUACAGAGCGUGAUUCCGUUCUUGUUAGGUUAAGAUCAUGAAAGAGGCGAUCAGAAUGGUACUCAAAUUGGUCGAUGGUGUGAAAACACUUCCUGAUGUCGAAUUCCAAAAACCAGCGAGAGGUUCCCCCUGGGAUUUUAGUUCAAUCGGUCAGAGCACCGCCCUGUCAAGGCGGAAGGACCAACCCAACCGGCGAUUUUUUACAAGUCUUU
RNAcentral lists this transfer RNA (348 nucleotides) under Rosa chinensis. RNAcentral describes it as "sRNA RchiOBHm_Chr4g0391151". The stretch from base 75 to 148 matches the Rfam family "tRNA". Lineage: Eukaryota; Viridiplantae; Streptophyta; Magnoliopsida; Rosales; Rosaceae. The record is from RNAcentral.